GUGGGUAUAGCUUAGUUGGUUAAAGCGCCAGAUUGUGGCUCUGGAGAUCGAGAGUUCGAAUCUCUUUAUCCACC
Molecule: transfer RNA, 74 nt
Filed under: Peptostreptococcus stomatis DSM 17678
Lineage: Bacteria; Bacillati; Bacillota; Clostridia; Peptostreptococcales; Peptostreptococcaceae
Rfam family: tRNA
About the family: Transfer RNA (tRNA) molecules are approximately 80 nucleotides in length. Their secondary structure includes four short double-helical elements and three loops (D, anti-codon, and T loops).
Source: Rfam by way of RNAcentral